Molecule: ribosomal RNA, 460 nt
Filed under: uncultured bacterium
Lineage: Bacteria
Description: partial 16S ribosomal RNA
Rfam family: Bacterial small subunit ribosomal RNA
Source: RNAcentral
CCUACGGGAGGCAGCAGUGAGGAAUAUUGGUCAAUGGCCGCAAGGCUGAACCAGCCAAGUCGCGUGAGGGACGACUGCCCUAUGGGUUGUAAACCUCUUUUAUAAGGGAAUAAUAAAUGCUACGUGUAGCAUGAUGCCUGUACCUUAUGAAUAAGCAUCGGCUAACUCCGUGCCAGCAGCCGCGGUAAUACGGAGGAUGCGAGCGUUAUCCGGAUUUAUUGGGUUUAAAGGGUUCGUAGGCCGGUUGUUAAGUUUGUUGUUAAAGCUUGGGGCUUCACCCUUAAUUUGCAAUUAAUACUGUCAGACUCGAGUUCAGACGAGGUAGGCGGAAUUAGUUAAGUAGCGGUGAAAUGCUUAGAUAUAACUUAGAACUCCGAUAGCGAAGGCAGCUUACCAGACUGCGACUGACACUGAAGCACGAGAGUGUGGGUAGCGAACAGGAUUAGAUACCCCUGUAGUC